CCUACGGGUGGCUGCAGUGGGGAAUAUUGCACAAUGGGCGCAAGCCUGAUGCAGCCAUGCCGCGUGUGUGAAGAGGGCCUUCGGGUUGUAAAGCACUUUCAGCGGGGAGGAAGGCGUUAAGGUUAAUAACCUUGUCGAUUGACGUUACCCGCAGAAGAAGCACCGGCUAACUCCGUGCCAGCAGCCGCGGUAAUACGGAGGGUGCAAGCGUUAAUCGGAAUUACUGGGCGUAAAGCGCACGCAGGCGGUCUGUCAAGUCGGAUGUGAAAUCCCCGGGCUCAACCUGGGAACUGCAUUCGAAACUGGCAGGCUAGAGUCUUGUAGAGGGGGGUAGAAUUCCAGGUGUAGCGGUGAAAUGUGUAGAGAUCUGGAGGAAUACCGGUGGCGAAGGCGGCCCCCUGGACAAAGACUGACGCUCAGGUGCGAAAGCGUGGGGAGCAAACAGGAUUAGAUACCCGUGUAGUC
This 465-nucleotide ribosomal RNA is filed under the name uncultured Klebsiella sp. RNAcentral's name for it is "bacterial SSU rRNA". It matches the Rfam family "Bacterial small subunit ribosomal RNA", at positions 338 to 795 of the family's 1533-position model. Lineage: Bacteria; Pseudomonadati; Pseudomonadota; Gammaproteobacteria; Enterobacterales; Enterobacteriaceae. The record is from RNAcentral.